CGCCUGGUUUUACAAAAACAUGUCUUUUAAGAGUAAAAUUAAAAGUCGGGCCUGCCCAAUGAUUUUUAUAAUUUAAUGGCCGCGGUAUUUUGACCGUGCUAAGGUAGCAUAAUCAUUAGUUUCUUAAUUAGAAGCUUGAAUGAAAGGUUUGAUGAAAAAAUUUCUGUCUCAAUUUUAAUGUUUUGAAUUUUAUUUUUAAGUAAGAAAGCUUAAAUUUUUAUAAAAGACGAGAAGACCCUAUAGAGUUUUAUAUUUAUAUUUUAUAAUUUUAAAAAUUUAGAAUUAAAUUUUAUUUUAUAAAUAAAAUAUUUAGUUGGGGUGAUUUAAAAAUUUGAUUAACUUUUUAUUUUAUAAACCAGUUAUAAUUGAUACUAAUGAUCCUUGAAAAUUAAGAUUAAAAGAAAAAAUUACCUUAGGGAUAACAGCGUUAUUUUUUCUUAGAGUUCAAAUCGAAGAAAAAGUUUGCGACCUCGAUGUUGGGAUUAAAA
Molecule: ribosomal RNA, 488 nt
Filed under: Pityokteines lasiocarpi
Lineage: Eukaryota; Metazoa; Arthropoda; Insecta; Coleoptera; Curculionidae
Description: partial 16S ribosomal RNA
Rfam family: Bacterial large subunit ribosomal RNA
Source: RNAcentral